UACGUAGGGGGCAAGCGUUGUCCGGAUUUAUUGGGCGUAAAGAGCGUGUAGGCGGCCAUACAGGUCCGUUGUGAAAACUGGAGGCUUAACCUCCAGACGUCGAUGGAAACCGUAUGGCUAGAGUCCGGAAGAGGAGAGUGGAAUUCCAGGUGUAGCGGUGAAAUGCGUAGAUAUCUGGAGGAACACCGGUGGCGAAGGCGGCAUCCUGGACCAAUAUUGACGCUGAGGAGCGAAAGCCAGGGGAGCAAACGGG
This 253-nucleotide ribosomal RNA is filed under the name uncultured bacterium. Its description in RNAcentral is "partial 16S ribosomal RNA". It matches the Rfam family "Bacterial small subunit ribosomal RNA", at positions 524 to 776 of the family's 1533-position model. The record is from RNAcentral.